Molecule: long non-coding RNA, 1207 nt
Filed under: Strigops habroptila (Kakapo)
Lineage: Eukaryota; Metazoa; Chordata; Aves; Psittaciformes; Psittacidae
Description: lncRNA (ENSSHBG00005008460.1)
Source: RNAcentral
AAAUGUGAACCUGUUUUAUUUUUUUCGUGCUUGGUUUUGAUUUUUCCUUUUUGAUCUGAACAUUCAGGAAGCACCAAAAAAUUAGUAAACUAAACCACAAAGUUUCCUGAUUUCUGUCACUGCUCUGCUGGAACAUGUUGGUGUCAUGGAACCAUGCGUGCUACCAACAGGCUGGACUCUAACUACCACCAUAUGAAAGGAUUCAGACCCAAAUGCUCAAAUAAACAAAAACCAAAACCAAAGCCCUUUUCCCCACUCAGGAUGCAUGAGAAAUGUGGGAAGAGGCUGCCCUGUUCCUGUAGGAAUUCUGUCACCUCCAUCUAAAUGAGGAAGUGGACCUGCAAGAGCCUUUCAAGAUUGAGGUAUCAUCAGAAUAAAAGUAAAAUAGUAUCAGAAGUUUCCUGUCACCAGCGGGGUAACAAGAGUCUUAACUUUCCUAGGCAGUGCUUAAGCAAGUAUGGUAUGUAUGUCAAGCACAUGACUGCAGUCCCAGGGUGCCAUGAACACACAAUACAGGGAUCUCCAUGAGUAGGAAGUGACAGAACAUCACUGCUGCACAGAAUUCCAGAAAAUAGCAUUUACUGGCUUUAAUGAUUGUUCACAUCUCACUAUUAAUAUAGUUAUAGGUUGGACCAGAUGAUCCUUGCGGUCCUUUCCAACCUGGUAUUGUGUAAUUCUUUAAAAGGACCACUAAUGUGGCAUGGGGUGGGGUGGUAGGUACUGACAUCUCCGAUUCCUCUUUGAGCUGACCUUAUGUUAGUAAAGCAGCUACAACAGAUCUUCACCUGGCACAAGAUGCACGUCAGCUUCAGAGGGCUGAGAGCAUUAGAGGAUUUUCUCUCACUUGGGGGUGGCAGAAGGCAGCUGCCAGGCAAUGCAGAAACUGCACUUGAGGGUGAGCCCUGGACAGUGCUGGAAACCACGCAAAGCAUGCUAGAGCUGGGGCUGAUGGAUGCAGAGACUUUCACCAUGUGGAGGACAGAAGUGUGUUGAACAGCUGCCAGAGAGCUGAGUCUUUUGGUCUAUGUGAACUAAACUGGGAACUUCAGAGUAGCUCAGGAUGGGAUUAGCUAAAAGACACUUCUCAGUGUCUUUUAGGGAUGUCAGGGAUGUAAUCCAUCCCUUCUCAGUGAGAUUGUCCACUGCGUUAGAAAAACAAACAACAAACCAAACAAUCCAGCCUGUGCCCUGCUUUUACCAUUCGUGC